Molecule: unclassified non-coding RNA, 252 nt
Filed under: uncultured Myxococcales bacterium
Lineage: Bacteria; Pseudomonadati; Myxococcota; Myxococcia; Myxococcales
Description: contains 16S-23S intergenic spacer region
Rfam family: Bacterial small subunit ribosomal RNA
Source: RNAcentral
GACAGAGGGUGCAAGCGUUGUUCGGAAUCAUUGGGCGUAAAGCGCGCGUAGGCGGCUCAUUAAGUCGAAUGUGAAAUCCCUGGGCUCAACCCAGGACGUGCAUUCGAAACUGGUGGGCUUGAGUCCCGGAGAGGGUGGUGGAAUUCCCAGUGUAGAGGUGAAAUUCGUAGAUAUUGGGAGGAACAUCGGUGGCGAAGGCGACCACCUGGACGGAGACUGACGCUGAGGCGCGAAAGCGUGGUAGCAAACAGG